RNAcentral lists this long non-coding RNA (630 nucleotides) under Populus tremula. Its description in RNAcentral is "long non-coding RNA (PTRE_LNC000091)". Lineage: Eukaryota; Viridiplantae; Streptophyta; Magnoliopsida; Malpighiales; Salicaceae. The record is from RNAcentral.
AAGGUGGUGGAGCUGGCUAUGGUGGUGGUGGUGGGCAUGGUGGCGGAGGCGGCGGAGGUGGUGGUAGUGGAGCUGGUUAUGGUGUUGGAGGUGACCACGGUGCAGGGUAUGGAAGUGGUGGUGGAAGUGGAGAAGGUGGUGGAGCUGGUUAUGAUGCUGCUGCUGGACAUGGUGGAGGUGGUGGAAGUGGUGGUGGUGGAGGAGCUGGUUAUGGUGCUGGUGGUGAGCAUGGUGUAGGGUAUGGAAGUGGUGGUGGAAGUGGAGAAGGUGGUGGAGCUGGCUAUGGUGCUGCUGCUGGACAUGGUGGAGGUGGUGGAAGUGGUGGUGGAGGAGGAGCUGGUUAUGGUGUUGGAGGUGACCACGGUGCAGGAUAUGGAAGUGGUGGUGGAAGUGGAGAAGGUGGUGGAGCUGGCUAUGGUGCUGCUGCUGGACAUGGUGGAGGUGGUGGAGGUGGUGGAAGUGGUGGUGGUGGAGGAGCUGGUUAUGGUGCUGGUGGUGAGCAUGGUGCAGGGUAUGGAAGUGGUGGCGGAAGUGGAGAAGGUGGUGGAGCUGGCUAUGGUGCUGCUGCUGGACAUGGUGGAGGUGGUGGAAGUGGUGGUGGAGGAGGAGCUGGUUCUGGUGUUGGAGGUG